GGGCUUGUGGUUUAGUGGUAUAAUACUCCCUUAGCACCUGCAUCUAAAGAUCUUCAACUUCGAAGUUUCUAUUAAAUCUGUGUUACUCCGCCUGGGAGUGGUCCAGGGUUCGAUUCCCUGCAAGUCCA
Molecule: transfer RNA, 128 nt
Filed under: Lachnellula cervina
Lineage: Eukaryota; Fungi; Ascomycota; Leotiomycetes; Helotiales; Lachnaceae
Rfam family: tRNA
About the family: Transfer RNA (tRNA) molecules are approximately 80 nucleotides in length.
Source: Rfam by way of RNAcentral